This 249-nucleotide non-coding RNA is filed under the name Cryptosporidium parvum. Lineage: Eukaryota; Apicomplexa; Conoidasida; Eucoccidiorida; Cryptosporidiidae. The record is from RNAcentral.
UGCUUUGUGACUUUGAUUCUAAACGACUCUUUUUUGAAGGUGGCUGAGAAUCUGAAGAUUUGGUCUUUUGAGAGGUUGAUGAUUGCUUGUUCUUAUUCUUUGUAGAUGGUGCCUUAACUGGUUCUUCUUCUUCUUCUUCCUCCUCUUCAUCAUCAUCCAAAUCAUCUAAGUCAUCUUCAUCAUCCUCAUCACUAUCUUCAUCGCCAUCUUCAUCAUCAUCUUCAUCAUUAUCCUGAAUAAGUUCGUCCA